This 406-nucleotide ribosomal RNA is filed under the name uncultured bacterium. RNAcentral describes it as "partial 16S ribosomal RNA". It matches the Rfam family "Bacterial small subunit ribosomal RNA", at positions 30 to 526 of the family's 1533-position model. The record is from RNAcentral.
AUUGAACGCUGGCGCCAGGCUUAACACAUGCAAGUCGAUCGACCGGCGGACGGGUGAUUAAUUUCUGGGAAACUGCCUGAUGGAGGGGGAUAACUACUGGAAACGGUAGCUAAUACCGCAUACCAUCAGAUGUGCCCAGAUGGGAUUAGCUAGGAGGUGGGGUAAUGGCUCACCUAGGCGACGAUCCCUAGCUGGUCUGAGAGGAUGACCAGCCACACUGGAACGGAGACACGGGCCAGACUCCUACGGGAGGCAGCAGGGGGGAAUAUUGCACAAUGGGCGCAAGCCUGAGGCAGCCAUGCCGCGUGUGUGAAGAAGGCCUUCGGGUUGUAAAGGACUUUCAGCGAGGAGGAGUUACUCGCAGAAGAAGCACCGGCUAACUCCGUGCCAGCAGCCGCGGUAAUUC